CCCUUAGAUGUCCUGGGCCGCACGCGCGCUACACUGAUGCAUUCAACGAGUUUUACCUUGGCCGAGAGGCCUGGGCAAUCUUUUAAACCUGCAUCGUGAUAGGGAUAGAUUAUUGCAAUUAUUAAUCUUGAACGAGGAAUUCCUAGUAAACGCAAAUCAUCAAUUUGCAUUGAUUACGUCCCUGCCCUUUGUACACACCGCCCGUCGCACCUACCGAUUGAAUGGUCCGGUGAAGUCUCGGGAUUGUGGCCAGUUCACUUUAUUGGGAGUUGGCUGUGAGAACUUGUCUAAACCUUAUCAUUUAGAGGAAGGUGAAGUCGUAACA
Molecule: ribosomal RNA, 325 nt
Filed under: uncultured eukaryote
Lineage: Eukaryota
Description: partial 18S ribosomal RNA
Rfam family: Eukaryotic small subunit ribosomal RNA
Source: RNAcentral